CAGCCGCCGCGGUAAUACGUAGGUGGCAAGCGUUGUCCGGAAUUAUUGGGCGUAAAGGGCUCGCAGGCGGUUUCUUAAGUCUGAUGUGAAAGCCCCCGGCUCAACCGGGGAGGGUCAUUGGAAACCGGGAAACUUGAGUGCAGAAGAGGAGAGUGGAAUCCCACGUGUAGCGGUGAAAUGCGUAGAGAUGUGGAGGAACACCAGUGGCGAAGGCGACUCUCUGGUCUGUAACUGACGCUGAGGAGCGAAAGCGUGGGGAGCGAACAGGAUUAGAUACCCCAGUAGUCCCUGUCUCUUAUAC
This 301-nucleotide ribosomal RNA is filed under the name uncultured bacterium. RNAcentral describes it as "partial 16S ribosomal RNA". It matches the Rfam family "Bacterial small subunit ribosomal RNA", at positions 509 to 807 of the family's 1533-position model. The record is from RNAcentral.